Molecule: ribosomal RNA, 278 nt
Filed under: uncultured bacterium
Lineage: Bacteria
Description: partial 16S ribosomal RNA
Rfam family: Bacterial small subunit ribosomal RNA
Source: RNAcentral
CAGCAGCCGCGGUAAUACGGAGGAUCCGAGCGUUAUCCGGAUUUAUUGGGUUUAAAGGGAGCGUAGAUGGAUGUUUAAGUCAGUUGUGAAAGUUUGCGGCUCAACCGUAAAAUUGCGGUUGAUACUGGAUAUCUUGAGUGCAGUUGAGGCAGGCGGAAUUCGUGGUGUAGCGGUGAAAUGCUUAGAUAUCACGAAGAACUCCGAUUGCGAAGGCAGCCUGCUAAGCUGCAACUGACAUUGAGGCUCGAAAGUGUGGGUAUCAAACAGGAUUAGAUACC